UAAUAAAUAUCUAGCCACUAGGUAGAGCUUGUGAGCACAUUCAGGAAGCAUUGCCAUGUUGCUAUGGUAGCAUUGUUUUGAUAACCACCAUUUGUUCAGUCAAAGUCUGCCAGCUAAGCUGACACAAAGAAGUACCAUCAUUACUUACAUCCUCUCUUCUUGGCAGUAACUAUUUGAACCAUGUGCAGCACAGCUUGACAUCCAAAUCUCUCAUAUUUAAGUGACAACUUUUACUAAUAUAGUGAAUAAUUUUCUGAGUUUAGUAAUAUCCAGAGAAUUCACCUCAAGAUAAUUGACAAGGAUCUACAAAUUGUGGAAUUUUGAGAAUGCUGCUCCCAGCAGGGUCAGUGUUUCGAUGCUGCUGUUCAUCAUAAAAUUCCUGCAGAGCUGCUAGGGUAUGGGAAGAAAGCUGAGGGACAUCAUCAUCAUCAUCAGAAUCAGCCAUUUCUUAAACUGAUAAUAAAGCAAACAAGAUGGAUGAAAAAUGUACUGUCUCCCAUAAAAUGAAUAAGUGGAUUCAUUCUUUUGUUGGGUUAUACAGUUUAGCUUAUAAGUGUCAUUAAAAAUUACAUUGGUUGGAUAUGUCUCUGCAUA
Molecule: long non-coding RNA, 594 nt
Organism: Sarcophilus harrisii (Tasmanian devil)
Lineage: Eukaryota; Metazoa; Chordata; Mammalia; Dasyuromorphia; Dasyuridae
Exons: 3
Source: RefSeq, a predicted model, not a curated record